RNAcentral lists this ribosomal RNA (475 nucleotides) under uncultured bacterium. RNAcentral's name for it is "bacterial SSU rRNA". It matches the Rfam family "Bacterial small subunit ribosomal RNA", at positions 28 to 507 of the family's 1533-position model. The record is from RNAcentral.
GACGAACGCUGGCGGCGUGCCUCAAACAUGCAAGUCGAGCGGACGGAGACCGAACCGCAAGGGGAGGUUGAAGUUAGCGGCGAACGGGUGAGUAACACGUGGGUAACCUACCCUAAAGUCUGGGACAACGGCCCGAAAGGGCCGCUAAUACCGGAUAAUGUCUUCGGGUCGCAUGGCCUGGGGAAGAAAGCCGAAAGGCGCUUAUGGAUGGGCUCGCGUCCCAUCAGCUAGUUGGUAAGGUAACGGCUUACCAAGGCGACGACGGGUAGCCGGUCUGAGAGGAUGGUCGGCCACACUGGGACUGAGAUACGGCCCAGACUCCUACGGGAGGCAGCAGUUGGGAAUAUUGGGCAAUGGGCGAAAGCCUGACCCAGCGACGCCGCGUGAGGGAAGAAGGCCUUCGGGUCGUAAACCUCUGUCAUCGGGGACGAAGAAAGUGACGGUACCCGAGGAGGAAGCCCCUGCUAACUACGUG